CCAGAAUCUCAGCAAGGAGAAUCACUUGAACAUGGGAGGUGGCGGUUACAGUGAGCCGAGAUCGCGCCACUGCACUCCAGCCUGGUAACAGAGCAAGACUGCAUCUGAAAAAGUAACAGAAAUUUUCUCCAGACACCUGCCUUCUGAUGAUGGCCCCCUCCCCCGGUGAAGCACGGGAGACCCCAAACUCCUGCCUGACCCUAAAGUGCCUCAUGACCCUGCCCACGCACUCCUCUGGCCACACUGAGUGUCCUCCGAGUCAUGCUGAGCCCUGUGCCUGGGUGUUUGCUGCCCCCUGUCUAAAAGCCUCCCCUCCCUUUUCCCGGCUCCAUCCCCUCAUCCUCUGCCUGCUCAGCACCCACCUCCUGGUCAUUUAACGUGUAGCUCAGGCUGUAAUCCCAGCACUUUAGGAGGCCAAGGGCAGAGGAUCACUUGAGCCCAAGAGCUUGAGACCAGCCUGGGCAACAUAGUGAGACCCCCCUCAACUCCACCAGAAAUGUAAAAGGAAGAAAAAAAGAUGUAGCUCAAGCAUCACCCACCUCCAGGUAGCCUUCCUGAUGGUGCCAUAUGCAGGUGGGCUCAGAGGCAGCCUCUGUUCUCUGGGCAUCAGAAGCUGCCUCCCUGGGGGAAAUGCUCCUGGGUCAGCUCCUGCAGGAGUCCAGGCACAGGAUGAUGGUGAUGGAUCAGGACUGAGGGUCAGAGAUGCAGAAAGCCAGACAGCUUUGGGAUGUACUUGGUGAGAUCAGUGGGAUUUGCUGCAGGCUGGCUGUCAGGGUGCAGGGGAGAAUUCUGGACCGGCCCUGUCUUCAUCUCUCUCUUCCCUCCAAUCCCAGGAAGAGCAAAUGAGGCAGAAGGACUCGUGGGCCUGGCUCAGCAGCUCCGUCCUCAAGAACUUGAGGACCACCAAGUUCCAUGGCUGGGAGGGAGCCUUUCUGGACAGAGUCCUGGGCAUCCGGGGCCAGGAGCUGGGUGCCUUGUGGACCUCCGGCCUCCUCUUCUCCGUGUCGCUGGAGUCCUUCCAAGCAUCUACAUUUCUGAGAACUCCCAUGAGGAAGAGAAAAUGGGGACCACUGACUUCUGUGUCUCUGAAAAUAACUUUGUAAAAGUACUUAAGGAUCCAACACUGUGCUUAUCAUCAGACAGUUCGGGACCCUCUGCUCUGAGAGCAUCAACAUUGGCCAUCUCCUUCUCCUGUUUGAGUCUCAAACUCUGCCUCUGGAACCUGGUUUUGAAGGGUAAGUUUCCAGUCAGAACAAGUGCCCACGCUCUGCUCUCCCAACCCCAUGCCCCUGCCAUCGCCAGGAAGGCUGAGGACAGACAGGGUCUUUGCUCCCCUAGUCAGAGCUGGCUGUGACUGAAGUACCCUCAGAGGCAGGCAGAGCCCUCUGUCCUUUUUCAUCACUGUGCUGACCACCUUGGGAGCUGAUUAUGCUCCUUAAACCUCCUGGGAACAGUUAAGGCCCCCUGCACUGCAAAAAGGAUUAAGUCAACUGAGACAAGACACGUUUUUCCAAUUAGUUAUAAACUUGGUAUCAAAGGCCCAUGACCAUGGAAUACACAGGACGAUCACAGUGAAAUGCUAAAGCCAAAUCUCCUCUUCCAUGUGCCAUGCUAUGAGAAAAGAGAUGGAAAGUAACUUCCACCAAUCAAACUUCCCGACCUCAGGCUUCUUAAAACACACAUCAACAGGUGCAACAAUGCUUGUGUUGGCAUAUGCACUUUACUAUAUAUGUGCAUCUUUAAAAAGAUUUUUCCCGGCAUCUUAAAUGCAAGUUUAAUCAGUCACACGUUUUGGUCAUGAUCUUCAGGAGCUGAAAAUCAAGAACUUUUUGAAGAGGCCUGGGGAAGAAAGAAGCCAGUCCUACAGACAACAGCCCAGAGCAAAAGAAAACCCACAUAGACAAGGGGAAAAUGCAAACUUCCCACAGACAACGGCCCCCAGGAGAAAUCAAUUAGUUUUUUCUCAUCACAGUUAUAGCAAGACAAUGUCAUUCAAGUACCUGCUGUACAUUUAAAUCUGUGUAA
Molecule: long non-coding RNA, 2025 nt
Organism: Aotus nancymaae (Ma's night monkey)
Lineage: Eukaryota; Metazoa; Chordata; Mammalia; Primates; Aotidae
Source: Ensembl